AAAUUGUUGCUUUUAAAUUUAUAUACUAAAAUUGCAAUGAUACAAAUAGAAAAGUUUAGCAUGGCUCCUGUGCAAGGGUGACAUUCAAAUUUGUGAAGCAUUCCCUAUUUUU
Molecule: small nuclear RNA, 112 nt
Filed under: Catagonus wagneri (Chacoan peccary)
Lineage: Eukaryota; Metazoa; Chordata; Mammalia; Artiodactyla; Tayassuidae
Source: RNAcentral